Molecule: unclassified non-coding RNA, 253 nt
Filed under: uncultured Actinomycetes bacterium
Lineage: Bacteria; Bacillati; Actinomycetota; Actinomycetes
Description: uncultured actinobacterium contains 16S-23S intergenic spacer region
Rfam family: Bacterial small subunit ribosomal RNA
Source: RNAcentral
UACGUAGGGGGCAAGCGUUGUCCGGAAUUAUUGGGCGUAAAGAGCUAGUAGGCGGUCUGUCGCGUCGGAUGUGAAAGCCCGGGGCUUAACCCCGGGUCUGCAUUCGAUACGGGCAGACUGGAGUGUGGUAGGGGAGAUCGGAAUUCCUGGUGUAGCGGUGAAAUGCGCAGAUAUCAGGAGGAUCACCGGUGGCGAAGGCGGAUCUCUGGGCCGAUACUGACGCUGAGGAGCGAAAGAGUGGGGAGCGAACAGG